AGAAGCUGGUGCAGAAUUGUUGUUAAAUUGCUUGGAAGAAUUCACAGGGUUAUCUGCUUUGGGUGACUGGUUGUGAAAGGUAAAGGACAGACGAGACUGGAAUUACUCCCACAUUUCUGGCUUCAGCCACUGAGUGGGUGAUGCUGCCAGUAAUAAGAUUAGUUUGUGUGAGUGGUGGUGGAACAGAGGUGUAUGCCUGUCACUCUGUUGAAAAUUUCCCAUCAAAGUUCUCAAAGACCUUAGGUGGCUAAAUUCAAUGGUCAACGAACAGUCUUCAUUUUCUGUGACCUAAAUGCAGCAUUUGAUAGAUGUGAUCACUCCUGUCUCUUGACAUACUCUCCUCACUUGACAUCCAGGCAUCAAUUAUCUUAUUUUUUUUUAUUUAUACCUUGCACCCAUGGUGAUUUUCACCCUAGUCUUAUGACCUGGACCUCUCCCCAGAACUACAGACUGUAUGACUGUAUAUCCAACUACAUAUUCAACAUCUCCACCUGGAUGUCUAGUUAGCAUUCAAAACCAAGCUUCACACCUGUCAGAGUGGCUUAAGUUAAUAACUCAGGAAACAACAGAUGUUGGUGAGGAUGUGGGGAAAGGGGAACCCGUUUACACUGUUGGUGGGAAUGCAAACUGGAGCAGCCACUCUGGAAAACAGUAUGGAAGUUUCUUAAAAAAUUAAAAAUAGAACUACCCUAUGACCCAGCAAUUGCACCACUAGAUAUUUAUCCAAAGGAUACAAAAAUGCUGAUUUGAAGGGGCACAUGAACCCUGAUGUUAUAGCAGCACUAUCAACAAUAGCCAGAUUAUGCAAAGAGCCCAAAUGCCCGUUGACUGAUGAAUGGAUAAAGAAGAUGUGGUAUACAUGUACGAUGGAAUACUACCUGGUGAUGAAAAAGAAUGAAAUCUUGCCAUUUACAAUGGUGUGGAUGGAACUAGAGGGUAUUAUGCUAAGCCGACAAAGUCAGUCAGAGAAAGACAAACAUCAGAUGAUUUCUCUCAUAUGUGGAAUUUAAGAAACACAGCAGAUGAACUUAGGGGAAGGAAGGAAAAAUAAGAUAAAAAUGCAGAGGGAACAAACCAUAAGAGACUCUUAAAUUCAGAGAACAAACUGAGGGGUGCUGGAGGGGAGAUUGGUGGGGAGAUGGGUUAAAAGGGUGAUGGGCAUUAAGGAGGGCACUUUUGGGGAUGAACACUGGGUGUCCUAUGUAAGACAUGAACCACUGGGUUCUACUACUGAAACCAAGAAUACAUUGUGUGUUAACUAACUUGAAUUUAAAUAAAAAAUAAAAUAAAAUGAAGUUAAAAACACAAGCUCCUGAUAUUCCACCCCAGUACUUAACCCUUCCAAAAUCUUCCUCAUCCCAGCAAGUAACAACUCUGUGCUAACAGUUUCCAAGGCCUAGUACUCCAGAAUUAUCCUUGAUCCUUCUAUUGUUCUCUUACUCUACAUCUGAUUUCUUAGCAAGUACUGUUGGCUCCACCUUCAAAAUAUAUCCAGGAUCUGGUCACUUCCUACCACCUCCACUGCUAACUCCUUAGGGCCUGCCA
Acinonyx jubatus (cheetah) is the source of this 1545-nucleotide long non-coding RNA. RefSeq lists it as uncharacterized. Lineage: Eukaryota; Metazoa; Chordata; Mammalia; Carnivora; Felidae. The transcript is spliced from 3 exons. The record is from RefSeq and is a predicted model, not a curated record.